This 42487-nucleotide long non-coding RNA is filed under the name Citrus x clementina. RNAcentral's name for it is "Citrus clementina (C. clementina) long non-coding RNA (CCLE_LNC002775)". The record is from RNAcentral. Lineage: Eukaryota; Viridiplantae; Streptophyta; Magnoliopsida; Sapindales; Rutaceae.
AAGACAAAUUAAAUAUUGUGGCUAAAAUUAAUUUAAAAAAAAAAAAAACCUUUUCGUCAAAGAGAGGUGGAGAUUGCAUUUCAGAAUGAAGGGUGUCUGCUGGUGAGCUCGUAGAGAUGAAUCUUAACAUAUUAUUGCAACCACCAAUCUCGAGGUUUAGUAAAGAAGGGAAUUCAACAACUAAAUCUGAAUGAAUAUGUCCCGUAUUGGCAAAGCUCGUUAGUUUUGGAAGCACACAAAGCCGUAAGGAGUGUAGUUUAGGAAAAACCUCUAACUCAAUCAACUUUCCUUCAUCUCUUCCUCCUAACCACCCUGUGGUGUCGACUACCCCUUCCAUCGACUUACAAGAUCUUAUCACAAGAUGUUGGAGUUGCAAAAGACUAUUAACCAUAGAAUAUGAAAACAGAUACUUCAGACGAUCACAACUUUCCACGGUCAUUUUUGUUAAAUUUCCACAAUAAGACACUCCCUGAAACUGUUCGGGCCAUAAUUUUUCAAUGGUUGUUAACCAUAUAAGUUUCAACUCCUCCAAGCGUGGAAAAAUAACCUGAAGCAAAACGGUACGCUUUUGUUCCGUCAAUUACAACUGUCUAAUAUAAUAAUCUUUUGAUGAUUGAAGAUCAAUCGUGAUAAUAUAUUAAUUUAUUAAUUAUAAAACAGAAAAUUAUCACCUUGUGAACAGAAUCAUCCUCUGCAAUGAUUUCUGUCAAUCCCUGAGUAGCUGUUGGCUUCUCCAUGUCGGGCCCUAUAAAUGAACAAAAACAAUCUAUAAUUAACCUCUGUCCUUUUUUUUUUAAAAAAAAGAGAAAAAAGAAUGAGCCAAUGUCAAUAAUCCUACCAAUAAUUAAUUUCAACACUUACCAAUAAUCAUUUUCAAAUCAUCGCAGUUUUCCACUUCUACUUUUUGAAGCCGCAAUAGGUUUUUGGCCAUGAAGAAUGAGAAGAGAUGCUUCAAUUUGUCACAAAAAAAUACUUUUAUAAUCCUUAAGUUGCUGAAAGAUUGAUCUUCUCUGAGUUGGCUGUAGCAUAUCGUUUCCAAAUUAGUUAAACCAAUAAGAUACAAUGUCUCCAGCAAGGGAAAGACUUUGCAACGAGCUCGUCCAAUUGAACCGACAAUAUGUAAAAUCUCAGGACAGCCUGCUACUAGAAGAUGCUCCAAUUGUGGAAAACCUUCCCCAUCGUCUAAUUCAUGAACAACACUCGGAACACCAUUCAAUGUUACUAGACGGAGAUCUUCAGUUCUUUUUAGCAACAUUUUCAUCCCAUAAUUCUCCAAAAGAAUGCUAACGUUUUCUAGCUCCUGGAGUUUCAUUGAUCUUGAUGUUUCAGAUGUCAAUUUUUCUAGCUCCGUGAUAACUAUGGAUGCUGAUGCUCUAGAUGUGGCGAAGGACACAAGUCCAUUUCGUUGCACUUUUCCUAUACAUAUCUGAUACCUUUGCAAUUCCACAGAGACCAAAUCCUGCGGCAGAAUUUCGGGAUCCGGAACAUCUAUCUCCAAAGUAGUUAGCUUUGACAACCCCUUCAACUCGACAAGACUGGCAUUACUUCCUCCUUCAACCUUAUCCCACUGUGAAAAGCUGCAACCCAUGUACAGUUCUUCUAGUCGAGAUAAUUUGGAUAUGAUGUUAGGAAAUUGGUGGGUGCAGCAGGACCGCAGCUAAAAUAAAAUUGGAAAUAAAAUAAAGAACAAGCACACUAGAGGACACAAGAAAAUUACGUGGUUCGGCUUUUAGCCUACGUCCACGGGCGAAGACAGAAGGAAAUAUUUUACUAGUGAAAAGGAGUUACAAGUAUUGUAGUAUUUUAGCUCACUUCCCAAAAUCCCAAUACACCCAAACUCUCAAAACACUAAACACUCAAGAGUUUAUUAAACUCUUAAAACUCUCAACACUCAAAGAAAGCAAUGCUUCUCUCUCGAUGGAAUUGGAUGAAAAUGAAUGAGGAAGCUCUUCCUUUUAUAGCCAAAAAAUGGCUAUUAAAUUAAUAUAUAUAUGUAUAUAUUUCAAAUGUAGUUACCAACUUCUUCUUUUUCUCCAUUUGGAUGGCACCAUUUUCUUUGGCCGGCUGCACCAUUUUCUUCUUUCAAAUGUCAAACCCUUCUAGAUGCAGCCAUGCCAAACACUUCUAGAUGCAGCCAACUUUGACAUAUGACAUUCGGUGUUAUCACCUCAAGCCUCCUACAAUUGCUCAAAUCCAGCAACUGUAACCGCGUCAAUUGUCCAAAUUCAAGUGGCAACCGCUCAAUAUCGGAACCUCGAAAGCUAAGAAUCUCUAAUUUCUUUAGCUGUCCAACUAUUACUAUAUCUUUUAGUCGGCAAUAUUCUAAACACAAUGUUUGAAGGUUAAUGAGGCGACCAAGUGAUGAAGGUAAUGAAGAGAAGUGAAUUCCAGUAAAAUUCAAAACUCUGAGUCCUUCCGUCCCAUCAAAAAAGUGGUCUGAAAUUGGCAUAGAGCCACCACCCUUUUCAAGCAACAAAAGUAACUCGAGACGGGGACAUUGCAACCUUUCAGGAAGCACUUGAAUACCUCUAUAAGGUAAAGAAAUAGCAAUUGGACCUUCCUGUACUGUCUCUUCCAUCUUUUUGUCCAAGUCGGCAACAUUUGGAAUAUUAAACAUGAGCUCCUCUUUUGCAAUUGAUACGGCAACUACACGAAUGACGUCAUGCAUUUUGACUUCAUCUUCAGCAUCACCGUCCAACAAUAAGCAUGAAGAUUUGAGUUUGCUGAUCAACGUAUGCACUGUACUCCUUGCUUCUUCCGGUGUGUAAACGUUUCUAAAAUAGCCCAUACCCAUACCAUAUCUCAAUAAAGAAGAAACUGGUAUAGCAUGACCUUCACUAAAUAGACCACAAAGAAGGAACAGAGAUUUUGCUUCCUUAUUUCCCAGUAAGUCGUAACUCAAUUUCAAGGAGAGGUACACAUUUUUUUCCAUUCCAUCAAUUUCUUUUGCAUAGGAACUUCUUAGCUGACGCAGCACAUAUUUCCAAGUCUCAAGGCUCAUAUUUUUCAAAGCUUUUGCAAGUGUAAUCAGUGCAACCGGCAGUUCUCCGCAUCUUCCGACGAUCUCAUGUGCUAUAGGUUGAAAAGCAGAUGUUUUCAUUGAAUCACCCACUAUCUUCUGAAAUAAAUACAAUGCUUCUUCUUUUGAUAAAGCAUCGAUCUGGAUCUCUUUCUGAGAAUUCAUAACAUUGUGCAAUAAAUCUUGACGUCUAGACGUCAGUAUUAUUGUGCAUCGUCGCUGAUCAUCCAUUCUUUCUUUCUUAACAUCCCCGGAAGGAAUUCCAACUUCAUCGAACUUCAGUUCUCCCCAAAUAUUAUCCAAUAUAAUGAGAUGCCGCUCCUCGUUCUUCAAAACUCGACAUAGUCGAUUUGCUCUGUCGAAUAUACUCUCAUUCAACUCAAACUUUAUGCCUAAAUCAGAAGCAAGUUUGUCUUGAAUUUUCUGAUGAUCUGGGUUCUCUGUUACCUCAGCCAUAGCGACCUUAUCGAACAACUUAUCUUCCGUCACUUGCUUUGCAACUUGCUUGACGAGCGUGGUUUUACCCACUCCGCCCAUCCCGUAGACCCCAAUUAUGUUGAGCUUAUCAUCCUUCAACGCCUCCAAAACAUCUUGAAAUACUUUCUUUCUUGAGUCAAAGGCCUCGUAAUCUUUCACUUGCAUAUAUUCUGUACUCUUUGGAGCAGGACGAUAGGAAACACUAGAGAAGUUGCCUUUUCCCACGAGAUCAGCAGCAUCUUUUGCGGCCUUUGCUGCUUUUUUACUGAGUUUGUAACGAGACAACAAAUUUGGGCACAAUCCUUUGAAGCAAUACUUCUUGGCUCCAUUUUCAUCAUCAAUAAUGGAGUUUGCAACCCCUUCACUGAUGAAUUCAUCAACGCUAUGUAGCCAAUCUGCGACACCCUCAUAAAGCUCAUCCCCUUGUAGCCUAGCAUGAUUAACUGGUUGCUGCACCAUUUCUCUUUUACAUCCCAGCUGCAUUACUUGAUCUUUUAGCUCAUCUACGUAGCUCUGGUACUUGAACACAUAAGAUAUCUGCCGUAUAAUCGGUUUGAACAGUGACUUUGCACCUUCUGAUACGAUGCUUGAAAAACCACCGAGACAGAAUUCUACAGCCAUUGCCUGUUGCUUAACGAUGUAUGUGUAGUUUUUGGCUGUUAAAAAAAACAAAAAUUGGAUUCAAAUAAAUUAAAUGAACUAGAGGGGAAGAAAAAGAAAGAAACGACAACAAACAACUUUUUAGAGAAAGGUUGAUAUUGUUACAGAACACAUGUUCAUUUUUAACAAAUUGAUCAAUAACUCUAUUCGCUAUUUAAUUGAUAUUGUAACCAAUUUUAAGAGAAUAUAAUAAUAAUCCUUCGAUGCAUAAAUUUAGAAUUAGAUUUUUUAACUUUUUAUUUAAAUAUAAAUCUCAAUGGAAAAUUAUAAAAAUUUAGAGAUAAAAUUUUUCAAUCACCAAACGGAAAAACAGGGGAAUGAAAACAGAGGAAUCUUGUUUUACCUUUUUUUUUUUUUAACCUUCACUCUUGUUCUUAUAUAAAUAAUCUUGUUCUGAUGAUAGUGCUCGUGACUGCAGGAAAAUUUCUAGUGGAAACAACUCAAUUUCAGAAGAAUUUAUUCAAUUGACUCUGUACUUGAACUCGUUGGAUUGGUUGAUUUAUGAUUGACUGAAUUUAUUCAAUUCGGCCUAAAAGAUCUUUAACCAAAGUUUAAUAGCUAUCAUCUACUCCUUAAAAAAAAAUAUGUAUCUUUUUUAGAUUUGACUGAAUUUGAACUUGCUGGAUUGGUUUUUUUUAGAUUAUUAAAAUGGGGCACUGCAAAGUAAGUAUUCUAAAAUCUGUAUGUUGCUUUAGAAAAAGGGCUUUUCCCACUGAUCUUUAUUCUUCAAGUAAACUUAGAUACAAAGUAAAUCUAAAAAAAUGACAAACAAACAAUGAAAUAAACGACAACAAACUGGCAAUUUUGACACAAAGCCAACAAUUAAAAUUUAGGACAUUUUUUUUUCUUGCUUUCUUUUUUUGGAGGAUUAGAGAUUUUGGUAUUACCAGAAAGGUUUCAAGGGUCUGAGUUUCAAGGGUCUGAGUAGAAACCUAUAAUCUUUUGAAAAACUUUGUUUUUUUUUAAAAAAAAAUUUGGGGAAAGGAUGCAAAUUAACCAAAGGAAAUAAUAAGAGCACAGGCUUUAACAAUGAACAAUAACUUAAAACUCAUGCAAAAUAAAUUCAAUAUUAAAGCAAACCAGAGAAAUUUUUUUCUUGAAAAGUAGAUGGAAAUUAUGAAAGAACAGAUGUCAAGAUCAAGGAUCAGGGAUUCUACUACCCAAAAAAAAAAAAAAAAAAUUAAAGGAUUUGGAAAAUGUGCACCUAGAGUUGGUGAGCUUCUCUCUAUUCACUUGAAUAUUUAAGAACAGCUGGGGAAUGUGUGAGAAAAGAGUUGACGAGAGAAAUAACAAUGACUUGCAGAAGAAAAACCAUUAAUCAAGCACACCUUUUUAUAUCCUGUAUUUGGUUAUUGUUGCCCUCUUGACGCAUGUAGAGAAUAAUUAUGUGCAUUUUUGUUUUUAAUCCGCAUGCACUUUAAUGAUUAGUGCUCCUUUCAUAAAGCAGAUACCGGAAACACACAAAUAUCAUUUGAGAGAGAAACUAAACAGCAAAUCAUCAAAGUAAGAUCAAUAAUAUAUGAUUUGGUUAAUGCAUAUUCAAGAACAAAAACAAAAAUAAAUAAAUAAAGAAGGUUUGAUUUUGUUUUGCCAACGCUGCUUUUUUGUUAUUUCUCACUCAUCUUCAAUCCUCAAGUAAAAUUAGGUAAAAAGCAAAUAUAAUAAAAAAACAAACAAAUUAACAAAAAAAGAAAAAAAAACAUUGAUCUUGAGACAACUGAUACUUAAACAGAGAAUUCUUUAUUCUUUUUUACUUCCCCUCCCCCCCCCCCCCCCCCGGGCUCGAGGAUUAGUUUUUGCUAUUAACAGAGAGGUUUUAAGAGUCUGAAUAAAACCAGCGCUUUUUUUAAAAACCUCUUUUUUUUCUUUUUUCUUUUUUGGGAAGAUAGAUUCAAAUUAACCAAAGCUAGUAAUAAGAACACAGACCUUACAAAUGAACAAUAACUUACAACUCAAGCAACAUAAAUGAUAAGAUUAAAACAAACCGGAGAAAUUUUUCUUGGAAAAUAGACGGAAAUUAAGUAAGAACUGCUGUUAAAAGAAAUUAUUAGAGGAUUUAGGAGAAUGUGUACCUCUUUAAUUAUUUGGGAUCAGAGAGUUGAUGAGCUCUCUAUUCGCCUUGAAUAUUGAGUAAGAACUGGUAUUAAAAGAAAUUAUUAAGAACAAUAUUUUAGUGAGCAAAAUAUCACUGUUAACUGCAGAGGAAUUUUGUGAGUAAAAUGCUGAAAGAGCAGUAACAAUGAAUUGCAAAAGAAGAAGACUUAACCAAGCACCCCUUCUAUACCCGAUUUUUAAGAUUUAAUUUUGAAGUUCAGAAUCAAGAACAAAGACGAAGCUUUAAUAAAGCAUGCAGUGAGAUACAAGAAAUGGAUCGGGCAAAAUACCUUACGAAGCGUUUCAUAUUUUCUAAUGAAAUAAUUUAGUUGAAGUUUUCGACGAAUAAAUACCUGUUGUGCUUGAAUAAUUUUGGCAUAUACAUUACUUGUAUCCGGCGAAAUUGAAAAGCACACUCAUUUACAGAGCUUGUUAGUGGGGAAAAGCUUCGUAAGAUGCCUGAUAAAAGAUAAAGCAAAAGCUUGAAUGAAGAAUGACAUUUUAGAAAGAAACUAAAGUGCAAUCAUCAAAGUAGGAUCAAUAGUGAGUUGAUCAGUUAUGCUUUUUGUUAUUUCAAUUGUCCUGUCCACAAAUGAUGCUUCGUUAUUACUAAUUCCACAUGGACAUUAUUUAGAAACUGUUCUUAUGUUUAACAGAAAAAUGAAAACUCGUCAUCAUACAAAACUGCGUGAACAAAUCUUCAAUUUGAUUAUUAUAAAAUAAAGAAGUUUCAUUACUAGAUUAUGCGGACGUUAAUGUUAGAGAUUUCAUCAGAUUAUCAUAUAAUUUACCAAACGCUUUGAGAAGAACAUGAAUUAAUUAGUUAAAAAUUUAAAAAUAAAAUAAAUAAAGAGUACAUGCAAAUAUUGUUGCUUCCAAUCACCAAAGUGAAAAACAGGGGAAUGAUAACAGACGAGUCCCUGAUUAUCCUCUCUCUCUCUUUUUUCAAUCUCUCUUUAUGUUAUGAUUGAAUAAUUGUAUAGAAAGUGUGACGGUUGCUGCAGCAUUAUGAAGUCAAAAUUGAGAACGACAUUAAAUAAUCAAUCUCUUUAUGUAUAUACUCGAAUGUCUGAUAGUGUUCAGACUUGGAUUUUCUAUAAACACAGAUUCGAAAUCCAAAUAAUUGAAUAAUUGUGUGCGUUCAAAUUCAGCAUUUAAUUUCUAUAUAAUUGGACAUAAAUGCGUAUUUUUUAUUUAGCCCAUUUCGGUCCAUGUUCAAAUAAACAUAUUUCUGUGGAUGAUAAUAUCAGGACCUCUGAUGCUUUUUUUUUUAUCAGAAAUUUUAUUUUUAACUCUUCGUUAUUUAGAUAUAAAUUUUUGCAGUCACCAAAUAGAAAAACAGGGGAAUGAAAACAGAAGAGCCGUGUCCUAAAUCAGGAGUAGGUGUUUUGCCUAAAAGUACCACUUUCCUAGCAAAUCUAGUGGGUUUACUGAAUAAAAUUUUUAAUUAUUCUGUUUGAUCUUUCUCUCUUUAUCCUAAGCAUUCUUGGUUGGGAUCGCUGCAUUGUCCUGUAAUCCGUGUGCCUUAGUGAAAAGAGUAAUGGGUAACUGUAGUUAUGGGUACUUGAGAGCUCACGAUGAGGGUAGCUUGGUAAUGGGACUAUCCAUAUCUGAGCAUCAGAGCUUGACAUCUUUGAUAAAUACAUAUGCUUACUGGUACUGUUUUUGCAUAUGUCUUUCACAAAAUCUUUGUAUAGGCUUACAUAGAGAAGAAGAUUCACCAAUAAAGUGUUGGCUCCACUGGCAAUGAAGUCCCUUAAGUGGCUUGACUGGGUUUGCUCCUCAGUUCUAGUCUGGGUUGUGGUACGGGCUUAAAGGUGCCUCCCACAGUUGGGGCCUUCCCCAGGAUACCUCGUGGUCAAAACAAAAAAAAAAUAGAGAAGAAGAUUCGGAUAACUUUCAAAAUCUGAAUCCGCCUGAUGGACGGACUUGACCACACAGCCCCGUGACAAGGAAGUCCAAGCAACUAACCUAAACCGUUCUCCUUUAGUCCUUUAUUAGGUUGUUCAAAAUGAAAUUAUACUGAGGAGCACCCCCCCCCCCCCCCAAAAAAAAGUUCUUUUAUAUAUUUUUCUUGGAAUUUUAGGCAAAAGAAAAAAAAACUGAGAACGAUUUCAAGCGAACAAGUGGAUAAUAACUAAAAUACUUAUUUUUAUAUAUUUGAUAUAUGCGCUCACUAUUAAUAGAACUUAUUAGAUACUACAACUUAAAUAACUUCCAGUGGUUGAUUGAGGGUAUGUUUGGGAUUUCCUUUACUUUCCAAGAAUUAAUUUCUACCUUGAUUCUGAACAAAAAAAUAAUUUUACAAAUAAUUUAUUAGGGUGUUUGGUAAAUGAUGAUUAUUUGACAAUCAAUUUUUAAAUGGUUUACUAUACAAAUCUGGUAAAUGAAAAUUAAAAGUGUAAAAUGUUCAUGUACAAUGACAAAAAUGUACUUGUUUACUUUUUUGUAAUUUAUUUAGAAUAUUAUUAUUUAAAUCUUUUUUAUUUACAACAUUUUUAAGAGCAUAUUCUAUUUUCUUUAUUACAUAUUUAAAUAAUUUUUUAUUAACUAUUUUAAUUUGCAAUAAAAUUAACUUGAAUAUUUUUUUAACUAAAAAAAUUGUUAUCUAGUUCGUGAUAUAACAAAUACUAACAUAUCAUCAAAUUGAUUAAUAAAUUAAGUGCAAAAAAGAAAAUGCAAAAAUUUAAUCUUUAUAGCUCAUAGAAAUAUAAUAUUAUAUACAUGUGUGUAAAAAACAACAUAUGACCAUAAUAUUAUCCACUCAUUAAACUUGCUGCACUAUUAUUUCUCAAUCUCUCCAUCUCUCGACCUUCAAGAACAUUACUACCAUAAUCUUCUUCUUGAAUUCAACCUCCAUUUCCUCAUCAUCAACAAUGCGACCAAUUUGCCUUGAUAGCCUUUCAACUCCUCCCACUUUCCUCCCUUUUGCAGACACUCUUUUUCUUUUUCUUUUUCUGUCUUUAAUAGCUUCAAUGGGAACAACCUCAUCUGACGACAAGUCCAUUCUUCAACUAGGACAGAGUUGGUAGUAGAUAUUCUAGUACUCUCAAACGAUGCCCAAACGGGGUCACCAGUGAUUGUUGUAUUAAAAGACAUUCUAUUUAAUUUUCCUCUGACUCUUGGUCGAUACCUUUUGUACAAAAUCUAUUUACUUCAGGAAUUUUAUACAUAUGUCGAUAUCAUAUUAAAGUGAAUUCAGAUCCUAUAUUAUUGACAUUAAAAUUUAGCCGAAUAGUAAAAAAUUUCCCUUUUUGUUUGUCACACAACUAUAUAGUCCCAUUUUUGGUUAUAAGCUCACGAUAUGCAAGGGAAAUGAAGAUCUAUUAAAAACUUCCCCAUAAUAUUAAACAUUAAACAAUAUCAACAUUUUGUGCAUAUGGUGCCUCGUCAACAAUUUGAUGUUCAUUUUGUUGCUCGGAGGAAUAUGACUACCUAUUAAUUAAUUAGCAAGAAUUGCGUUGCGAGUCCAUGUUUUUUGUCGUUUGGAUGGAGGAUGUGCUAUCUUUUUAUUGUAGAUGCUUUGUAAGGCUUUUGAUUUAAUGAUUGAAUGCAGUCAAUUAACAAAAGCUUACAUACAGUAUUAUGUAGUUGCUGAGAUGUCUAUUCUUGAUAAAGUCGAUUUAUUUACACCCAAGCCAACGGAAUCAAAGCCUUUUCGUUAAUAAUAUACACGGUAAUUGUUUUUGUUAAAUUGAUUUCUGGCUAACAAGAUCUUUGAAAGCAUUUAUUAAAGAAACCACUGACUCAUAAGAAAGCCAUGAUUAAAUACACAGCCAAGCAUGUGAGCUCGUUUUUCAAUCUCUUUGAUCACUCAUAAGCUUCUCUAUACCACUCACUGUAUCAUCCUUUUAAGUCAAUUUUGACUGAUCAUCAGAGAUCAUGCACCCCACCUUGAGAUGAUUGAUCACCAAUUUGGCAUUGUAACGUUGAUCACCUCUAAUUGGCCAUGCUAAAAUUGGGACCUCACAGCCAAUUGCUUCUACAGUUGAAUUUUAUCCACAGUGAGAUAAAAAUCCACCUAUUAAUUGAUAACUCAGUAUCAAUAAUUGUGGCACCAUUCCAUCUAUUAUCAAACCCUUUUUACCGACUCUACUAUCUAAACCACUACAAAAAUAAGCUGGUUAAAUGACGUGGAGGAUCCAAUCUAUUUACAUCAGUUUGAAUUACCUAAAUAAUCGGUGGAUUUGAUGCUUCUAAAUCAUUGGCUAAUGUUGAAUAAUCAUUUAAGGUGGGACCCAUUUCGGUACCAAAUGACAUGUAUAACACGGAUCCACAUGAUUUCAAAUCUAACCAUUGAAUGAUCUCAUCUUCGGUCAUGUUAGAACUUCGCCGGUUGGUUCUCAUCUCACAAUCACGAAGCACUGAACCAGCCGAUUUGUAAAAUUGUUCAGGUAACAAUUGGCCCACUCCCCACACUGGCAUCAACACCAUCGAUCCCUCCACUUGCUUCAUCCAGUGUGGUUGAUCACUCGGUUCUGAUGGGCCUAUUUAUUCUGAACCGGGUGCACCUCACAAAGGUUGUGGACCACCAGGAAGGGACCCGUGAGGCCUGCGUUUAAGAUCCGAUUCGAAUAAAGCAAUAUCCUUGGGUAACCCAAGAAGUAAACGGGCCUCUCCCGGUUUGACAUCCUGGAUGCGAGCCUGCCACAUGGCACACUCCACAGCUGCUGAGCAAGCAUCAGAAGUGAAGAACCCAACAAUGGGAACUUCAAAAUUCUUGAAAACAUCAGCCGUCCAGCCCAUCAUAACGCCGAUGACUACGCAAACAGGUCGGCUUUCGGGUUCCGGGUUGAAAGGAGGUUUCGAAGGCCUUGAAGCAUUUGGCUGUGCAUGACAACAUGGUGGUGAGAAGGAGGUGAUGGUAGUGGUUGAGAUGGGGAGGGUAUUUCGGUAAUUUCAAAUAGAGCGUAUUGGUGAAGAGAGGAAGGGGUGAUGCUGGUGGUAGAAACGUGAGAGGGAAUAAUGAGGGUAGAUUUGUAACAACGAGAAGUGAUUUGCUUGCAUAAUUCAAUGCAUGGAAACAGAUGUCCCUGACCGAAGAAUGGGACAAUCCAAAUCUCAGCCUCAGCAGCAUUCGCAACAGAGCUUGACAUCUUUUAUGAAUUAUUUGAGACUUAAUUGUUAUUGACUGCUUUUGCCAUCUUUCAUAAAACAUUCUUUGUUAUAUAUAAAGAGAUGACUUGAUGGAGAAGCAAGUGUUUUACUUUUAUAGUUUUACUAGUAGUUGAGCUCUGAUUUUGAUAAUUUGAUUGUUAGUUUUAGUUGGUUAGUUAUGAGAAAGCAUCUUUCACAAAAUUCAUUCCAGUUUCAACUAAAAUUAACAAUACUGUUCAAAUUAAUUACUGGAUCAACAAAUAGUCAUAGGCAAAUCUAUCCCUAGCGCUAGAUCUUGAACAUAAUUAUUAUCAUAAUCUCCCCUUCCCCCACCCCCCACCCCCAAAAAAAAAUUUACUAAAUAUCUUUUGUUAUAUAAUGAACAAGAUAAGUUGACGGAGAAGGGUUCUACUUUUACUAGUAAAUGAGCUUUGAGUAGUUAAGAAGGUUAGUUUUAGUUAGUUAAAUAUCUACCAUCCGAAUCAAAGUUCCUUAGACUAUUAUUCAAGUGAGAUGCUUGAGUAACAUAUACUUGUGUUAGUUGGUGCCUAACAAUUCGUGUGAUACAUGAAACCAACCACUAUGAAAUCCAAAUGAAGCUGGUAGGAUUAGAUUAAUUUAAAUGAAAAUAAAAAUUUGUUUAUGCUAUUUAUUAAUCUUAUAAUGUUGAAACUUGAAAGUUAAUUCUUCAACCUGUCAAUUGGUUCAUGACAUGGUUUAAUAUUCAAGUAAAUAAAUUUAUCGUUUAAAAUUAAUUUUUCAUGUGGUAAAAGCAAUACAAAAUAUGGGGUGGAGAGAAUAAUUUGUAGGGUAUACCCCCACCAUUUAUUUAAUUUCAUUAAAAAAAAAGAAAAGAAAUAAAGGCUUGUUCAACAUUCAAUUAAAAUUAACAAUUCCAUGAUAAAAUUACUUGAGAAUAAAAAUUAAAAAAAAAAAAGUAACACAAAAACGAGGAAUUUUUGAGUAACUGAAGAACCAUAGAUGUUUUUUGGUCAUGAGCAAUUUUUGAGUUGAGACAGAACUUGUAUAAAAAAAUAGUUUUGAAUAACUUCUUUUCUUUUUUCAUAAAUAUAGAUAUAAAAUUUUAAAGUCACCAAACACAAAACCAGGAAAAUGGAAAGGAAGCCCCUGUUUCUCCUCUGUUGCAAGAACAAAUUCGGUUUCUACAGGAGUACCUUCUAAAUGCACCAUUUGUAUUGCUUUGUUUCCACGUAAGCUAACGGAAUUUUUAAUGAAAUUAAAUAAAUACAAUCUCACUGACCGAAAAGUUCUGUAGCUGUUUCAAUUCAAUUGCAUACAUUGACGAAACAUUAAAUACGGAAAAAACAAAAAAGAAGUAAUAGGACAUGGGGAUUUCGAGAACUUCUAAAGAGAGAAAUCUAUUUAUAAGCAUUGAAAAUUAGCUCAUUAAAUUUGACAGAAUAAUAUACAAUCUCACUGUUGGCCAGAAAAUAAUAGUAAGAACUUGUGAACAUAUAUAAUCAAUUGUUUAUUACUUAAGCUCUUUUUCUUCGUUAUUUUGAAUGGGUGCAAAGAAGAGAAGUUUUGUACCCAAAUUCCAACUCGAAUUGUGUAGGCUGCUUGCAAGAGCUUCAUUAGAUUUUUAUUUGUCUUUUAAUAGUGCUACUCGAUAAAUACAGCUAGCUACCUGUCUUUUUUGUUACUGGACUAUAGAUCAAUUGACAGUUGAAGUUAUAUUAAUUUGUUGUACUGGAAUUGAAGCUUGUAUCUUAGCCAUUUCGUGAAGUGUCAAAUAUAUUUUUAAUUUCCUUAAAAUUGUUCAAAAUAUGUUUACACUUUUAAAGUCACUAUUAUACAUGAGUGCCCUAAAAUAGGAGAAGGCGAUUUGCCUGACAUUACCUGUUUCCUGUCAAAUCUAGCAGGUUUACUGAUUAGAUUUUAACAAGUCUCUUGGCAAAGUUUGCUAGAAAUGGAAUCAAAUUAUUCUAUUUAAUCUUACUGUCCAUACCCUAAUAGUUCUUGAUUUGCAUCACUGCAUCGUUCUAUAAUCUGUGUGCGUUGGCUUAUAAAGGCUAGCAAGGCUGACCAUUCGUAGCAUAGUUUUUUUUUUUUUUUUUUUCCACAAUGAAACUCCUAUUGAUUUGACUCAGUAUUUAGAGGCGUUAACGAGGGCACUAUACUAGACAUGGAUUUCUACCGCUUUUGGUUGUACAAUUGUUGUAAUCCUUGGCCAUCAAAUCAUUUUUACGUAGCUUUCUCAGAGUUCAUGCCAAGUGUACAUUAAUGUUUUUAUGUUUUGGAUGCAAGUGGGAUUCUAGUUCUCUAUGGCAGUUGAAGAGGUAAAUGGGCAUGGAGCUAUGCUCUAUCAUAGGCUUCGGCCGCUACAAGAAAUUUGAUUUCUUAAGACGAUAUUUUUUACAACUUUAAAUUUGGUCACAAAAUUGUAUUUAUUGUGACAAAUUUUUAAAAUCGUAGUUAAUAAUCUUGUCGUAACUUAUAUUGUUUUUUGUAACCAAUUGUUUUUAUUUUGAGACUUGUUCAUUGGUCAUUAAUUAAAUUUUUUUAUGACAAAAAUUAUUUUAGUCACCAAAAGAUAUAUUUUUUUGGCGCAAAAUCUUCCCUCCAAAAGUGAUUAUUUUGAGACAAUAUUUCACUAUUUAUGACAAAAUAAAUAGUCACGAAAUAUAAUGAUAGGCGACCAAAUUAUUUGGUAACUAAAAGAAGGGUGUAAAAUUGACUAAACAAUCUAUGACACAAAAUAUUAGUAGCCAAAAUUAUUGUUCUUUUGGCUAAUUUUAAGACCAUUUUUUUUUGUCAUAUAUAAUUACCUACCAUGACAAAAUUUAAAAAUAGUUGUUGAAUGUUUUGUCUUGAAUAAUUUUAUAUUUGAUAACCAAUUUUUUUUUUUCUUUUUGAGACAUAUUACUUGGUCCCUAUUUCAACUUCUUUUUGACGAACUUUAUAAUAGUCACAAAAGACUUUUUUUAUUUUUGGCAUAAAAAGUCUGUCCAAAGUUAGCUCUUUUGGGACAAUAUAUAAUCUUUUAUGACAAAAUAUAUAGUGGCGAAAUAUAAUUAUUUUUUACAAAGUUAUUUCGUAACUGAAAAAGAGGUGUAAAUAUAGUUAACCUAUUUGUGACAUAAAAUAUUAGUCUCCAAAACUAUUAUGUUUUUAGCCAAUUUUAAGACCCUAUUUUGUUGUCAUGGAUAAUUACCUAUUUUCAAAAAACUAAGAGAUAGCAAUCAAAAGUUUGUCUUGAUUGACAUUGUAUUUUAUGAGCAAAAUAUUUUGUUUCAGUGACACUUUACUUGGUCUUUGAUUAGACUUGUUUGUGAUGAUCAAUAGAAUUAUAUAAUAACCACUAAAUUUUUUUGGGUUAAAUUUUUAUAGAUACUAUUAAUUAAGUUGUUGACGAAAAUGAUCGAACUAAUACUAAUAUGGGAUACCAUCAAUAGCCGUAAUACUUAUGAAGCGAGAAAUUAUAAUAUGUAGUGAUUUAUUUAGAAUUAUUUUGACUACUUUAUUGAUUUCCAAAACAUAAAAUUCUCAACCCAAAAUUCCCCGCAUUGUGUUUUAUUUUGUCUCCUCACUCAGUUACUCUUUUAGCUAAAGUUGCUUUGGAAAAGUUGGAAUCUUUUGUUUGGGUGGAAAAUUUCCCACCAGAGAUUAGACAUGUAUUCACCUAGUUGAAGUAAUGAAAGUUUUACUUUCCCAUAAAAAAAAAAACUCACGGCUUGACAAAAAAAAGGAAAAAAAUUCUCACAGCUUGAUGGUCUCCUCUCUUUAAAAAUAAAAAUCCCUAGUUACUCUGCUCAAACUCGUUAAUAUUUGUUUCCACCACCUAAGCAGCCACUAGUAUCUUUUUUUUUCGCAAUUCACUUUUGCUGUGUUUCGUGGUUUGGAUGGAGAUCAUGACAAUAAUUGAACGAUGGUGAUAAAUAUCAAAGAAGGAGCUUACAUGCCCUAUAUAUCUCUCUUUGGAUGAAUAACGAAGGUGAACUUUCAAAGUACAGAGAUUUACAUGUUUUAAUUGUCAUUUACAUUGCUGCAUGCCCAUUGCUUGAUAAAAUACCGCAACAAACACGCAUUCUCGAUUUUCUCAUAAAUUUAUUUUCUUAGUCUGAAAAAAAAAUUGAAUGUUCAGAGAAUUUUGAAGGUUUUGGUGUAUGCAUUAAUAUUUUGAUUCUAUUUAUGUUGUUUAACUAAUGAAGAUGAUACAUCUAGCCUCUUUUUGCCCCUUGUUGUUUUUAUUCUUGUGCUUUAUAUACGGUUCAAGUGUGAUACACUUUAGUUUUUCUCAAGUGUUUGUUAGUAUUUCCCCAAGCAAAAUUUGUCACAGACUUUGAGUUCAAAAGUUGAAAUCAUAACUAACAUACUUCGAUUUUUUAUUUUCCUUUUUUCUUCGGGGUCCCAUAUAUCUUUCUAUAUGGCAUUGCUUGAGAAAUUGGUGUACUUAGAUCGUAAUAUUCUGUAGAAAUAAGCUAAUAUUUCAUUAGGUACAUUGUUUAAUAUGAUAAGUACUGUAUGGAAGUUUUACAGAUAAGCUCCUUGUAUAUUAUGCAUUAUGUUUUUAUCAUAUUGUUGCUUGGAACUUUGAAGGAUUGGCCACAGGGCUUUAGUCCUACAAGGACAUUUUAUAUUGGGAAAUUAUCAUUCGUAUACCCUAUAGAUGCUCUGUUAUAAAAAAUACUACAACACUUUGAGGGUGUAUCAAUCGUCCACAUUAAGUUGACAAAAUGUAUCUGUUGUCCACCAAACCGUUACUUGCCGUUUAAAUAGGAUAACGACAGAGGGGUAAUUUGGUCUUUUCAUAUGAUACAAGUGAUAAUUUAAGGGUAUACAAGUGAUACUUUUCAAGGGUAAAAUUGUCAAUUCGCUAUAAUUCCGUUAACUUUCAAACGGUAGCUAACGGUUUGAUGGUUGGUAGAUAGCUUUUGUCAAUUUGGGGUGGACGAUUGAUACACCCUCAAAGUGUUGAAGAACUUUUUAUAACAGAGCUUCCUACANNNNNNNNNNNNNNNNNNNNNNNNNNNNNNNNNNNNNNNNNNNNNNNNNNNNNNNNNNNNNNNNNNNNNNNNNNNNNNNNNNNNNNNNNNNNNNNNNNNNNNNNNNNNNNNNNNNNNNNNNNNNNNNNNNNNNNNNNNNNNNNNNNNNNNNNNNNNNNNNNNNNNNNNNNNNNNNNNNNNNNNNNNNNNNNNNNNNNNNNNNNNNNNNNNNNNNNNNNNNNNNNNNNNNNNNNNNNNNNNNNNNNNNNNNNNNNNNNNNNNNNNNNNNNNNNNNNNNNNNNNNNNNNNNNNNNNNNNNNNNNNNNNNNNNNNNNNNNNNNNNNNNNNNNNNNNNNNNNNNNNNNNNNNNNNNNNNNNNNNNNNNNNNNNNNNNNNNNNNNNNNNNNNNNNNNNNNNNNNNNNNNNNNNNNNNNNNNNNNNNNNNNNNNNNNNNNNNNNNNNNNNNNNNNNNNNNNNNNNNNNNNNNNNNNNNNNNNNNNNNNNNNNNNNNNNNNNNNNNNNNNNNNNNNNNNNNNNNNNNNNNNNNNNNNNNNNNNNNNNNNNNNNNNNNNNNNNNNNNNNNNNNNNNNNNNNNNNNNNNNNNNNNNNNNNNNNNNNNNNNNNNNNNNNNNNNNNNNNNNNNNNNNNNNNNNNNNNNNNNNNNNNNNNNNNNNNNNNNNNNNNNNNNNNNNNNNNNNNNNNNNNNNNNNNNNNNNNNNNNNNNNNNNNNNNNNNNNNNNNNNNNNNNNNNNNNNNNNNNNNNNNNNNNNNNNNNNNNNNNNNNNNNNNNNNNNNNNNNNNNNNNNNNNNNNNNNNNNNNNNNNNNNNNNNNNNNNNNNNNNNNNNNNNNNNNNNNNNNNNNNNNNNNNNNNNNNNNNNNNNNNNNNNNNNNNNNNNNNNNNNNNNNNNNNNNNNNNNNNNNNNNNNNNNNNNNNNNNNNNNNNNNNNNNNNNNNNNNNNNNNNNNNNNNNNNNNNNNNNNNNNNNNNNNNNNNNNNNNNNNNNNNNNNNNNNNNNNNNNNNNNNNNNNNNNNNNNNNNNNNNNNNNNNNNNNNNNNNNNNNNNNNNNNNNNNNNNNNNNNNNNNNNNNNNNNNNNNNNNNNNNNNNNNNNNNNNNNNNNNNNNNNNNNNNNNNNNNNNNNNNNNNNNNNNNNNNNNNNNNNNNNNNNNNNNNNNNNNNNNNNNNNNNNNNNNNNNNNNNNNNNGAGGAUGAAAUUUGCAAAAACCUUGUUCAUAGCUAUGGUAAUUAAGCAAAUUGAGUCUUCUUUUUUUGUUGUUUUUUAUUCACUUUUUCCUGUCCUUAAAACAAAUAAUGAGUUUUCUUGUUUUUAAUAUUUCUUAUAAACUUUAUGUUGUUUGGUAUAAAAUUAGGUAAUUGGAAAGGUCUCAUGUUGGAUGAAAUUAUCAAUUAUGUGCAGUCCCUACAGAAUCAAGUGGAGGUAACAUUGCUACUAAAAAACCUUAUUAACAUAGUUAUAAUGAAUUAAUCUUCUUUAAUAUAUUGCAAUAUUUUUUACUAUUUCUAGGUCUUUCUAUGUUGGUUUUGGAUCAUUGUAGUUGCUGAUUGUGAUUUAUUGCCGCCUAUGGUUGCUGACUUUUGUUUACUGCAGCUACUUUAUUAAAGCAAUUUUGGAUAUUGAAGUUUAUGGCCAACUUUUAUUAGAUACUUCUGACCUUUAUCGAUAUAUUUUCUGAACCUUUACACUUAAGAUGUGUGUGUGUUUUUUUUAAGUAAUUUAAUCCUUACUAACAUUUUCUAACAAAAUCAAUUACAGAAAUGAUUAGGAAAAAACAAGCAAAAUCAUUGUAAAGUGUCUUCUGCGCACCGUGGUUGCUCAAGUCUCAUGUGCAACAUGUGAAUGAAAUAGUACUUGAAAUAAUAGAGACUUUGUUUUAUGACUCUUAUAUUUACAUUUCUUUGCAAGGAACCAUACUUAAUUGUACCUAAUAGAAGAGAUAUCUUUUCACUAUAUAGUCUUAGUAUAAAAAGAUACCUCUUCUAUAAGGCACAAUUAACGGGACAUGUCUUUAUACUAAGACAUCAUUCAUAUUUAUCACACAAUAAUAGAAACUGCAACGGUAGCUGGAAUAUUAUGAAGUCAAAAUUGAGAACGACAUUAAAUCAUGAAUUCUUUAUGUGUUUACUCUAAUGCCUGACGGUAUUUAGUUCAAUUAACACAGAUUCGAAAUCCAAAUGAUUGAAGAGUUGUAUGGGUUCAAGUUCAGUAUUUAAUUACUAUAUAAUUAUACAUAAAUGUGGAUUUUGCAAUCUUGAACCCAUUUAAUUACUAAAAAAGGAUGACGAAUAGAAUUGGUGGAAAUUGACCACAAUCAUCUCUCUCUCUCGGCUUGCUCAAAUUUGGCCGAUCUGUGCGCUUGCUUAAGCUUGGCCGAUCUAUGCUUGCUCGAUUACUCUUCCUAUAUUCAGUCAGAGUCAACUGUUUGACAAGAGUCGAAGUCCAAGGUUCUUUUUUACAGGAUUUGAGCUACUUCUUUUAUUCUUCUUGCAUGUUCACUGAUAGCGGGUGGAAUUUGAGAUGUUCACUGAAGCUUUGAUGUGGUGUUCUGAUAGCGGGUGGAAUUUGAGAUUCUCCUUUCUUCUCUAUAUGAAGGUGCUUGUCAUGUGUCAAGAAAAAUAAAAUUAUUUACAAAAGAUUAUUUUAAGGAGAUUUAUUAUUAUUCGUGGAUCAGGAAGCUCAAAAAGUUUUCUUAUGUAGAACAUAAAAUGAUUUAAAUUUUGCCAUGGUAUAUCCUUUUCUUUGAUUGUGUUGUGGUUUUCCAGUUCUUGGAGAUGCAGAAGAAGUUUAUUUUGUUUUAUGGUAUCUUAUUUAUUUAUUGUUUUCACGAGGAAAUAGCUGUGCUUUUGGAAAUUAAUAUGCUGUGUUGUAAAUGUUGUGUGAAAUCCUUUUAUUGGUGUCUAUGUAAAGUGUUUCAGAUUUCAGACCUGAGAGUUAAUCUUCGCGUACCAGUUGGCUUUUGGGUUUAGUAUUGCUGCUUUUAACAUAAUUGACCUAUGGCCCAAAUCAUUUCUUAGGGCGAAGCAUAUGAAUGAUACAUAUUAUCUUUUUUUGGCCUUAUGUAUUGUUAUUUGCAGUGUGAUUUGGUCUAGCUUAAGAGCUUAAGCUUGCAAGUUGGAUUUGUCUAACAGGGAACAAUUUAAUUUGUUCAUCAUGAUGUUUAUAUCCAUUUUGUACUACUAUCAAUUUCAAUCAUGCCUAAUUUUUAUAUGUAUUUCUUGUGGACUCUCAGGUUCAGUGCACAAGAGGAUGAAGACGAUGGACACCCAAAUUUGAUGUGGAGAAUAAGUAUUGCAAAUGGUCCUUGAUUUACUUCUCCAAUUGACUUGAAUUGGUUUGACGCAAUUUAUAGUGUAUUUUUGUCAUCUUUGUAUGACUGGCAGGUCGUCCUGAUUUGGUACAUGACUGGACUCAGGAAUUGGACUCAUAUUUUUCAAACCAGAAUGCCAACAAUCAAGCAUUUUCUUUUGAAAGCACUGGCGUCUUCUUCAAUGCCAAAAAGGUUAGAGAUUUUUUGUAUCCUGUUUUGUAUUUGAUCAGUUUAGCAUGUGGGUGGCAAUCAAGAAAAGUUAUUCUAACAUUUUUGUGUUCCCGAAAAACUGCUGAUGAUGUGUAGUGCAGGAAAUGAAUUGUUUGUGACUUCUUUUUAUUCGUAUUCUUUCUUUUUUCUUUUCUCCCCAACAGGAUUAUGUAUUUCUGAAGAGCUUCUUGAAGUUGAUUACCUUGUAAGCCACUUUCUGUACUCUAUGCUCAGGAUGUGAUUUUGCCAAGCAUUAAAAUGGUUUAGGUCAGAACCAUCAUCUAAAGUUUACUUAAUGCAGCCGAGAAGCUGUAGUAGAGCAAUGAAGGCUGUUGGUGUUAUGAAGGCCAGCUGUGAAGAAAUAUUUGAACUUGUAAUGAGCAUGGAUGGGACACGAUACGAGUAUGCUUCUUUUCUAUUUUUUAAUUUUAGUUAUUUUAACAUAAUCAAGACUAUAUUGGCUGUCUCUGUAAGCUGAGUAUUAUAUUUCCUCUUGUAUGCUGUGAAAUUCACAUUGUCUCCAGUCCCGAUUCUGUAUGUGCCUUUUUGAAUAUAUUUAAUUAAUCUGCAUGGUGCUUUCUAAAGAUUAUUACAAACUUUUGUUGCUUAAGUAUAUGAAGAAUGUGGAAAUGAAAAUAGCUUUUGAAGUUUGAUGGAUUGCUUCAUUAAUAAAGAAAGACUGGGACUCAUUUUUAUAACUUUUCUCCACUUAGCUAAUGGUAUUUGAUGAAGACAAAAUAGAUGUAGCUAUCUGUAUUUUUUGUUGCUGAACUAUAGAUCAAUUGACGGUUGAAGUUAGUUAUAUUAAUUUGUUGUACUAGAAUUAAAGCUUGUAUCUUAGCCAUUUCAUGAAGUGUCAAAGACGUUCAUGUUUUUUAAAAAAAACAUGUUACACUUUUGAAGUCACUAUUACAUAAAAGAGUGUUCUAAAACAGGAGAAGGCGUGCUGCCUGAAAUUACCUGUUUCCGAUUUUAACAAGUCUCUUGGCAAGGUUUGCUAGUAAUGUGUUCAAAUUAUUCUAUUUAAUUUUACUGUCUGUACCCUAAUAAUUCUUGGUUUGCACCAUUGCAUUGUUCCAUAAUCUCUGUGCGUUGGCUUAUAAAGGCCAGCAAGGCUGAUCAUUUGUCAAAUAGUUAUUUCCAUGAAAUUCCUAUCAAUUUGACUCAGUAUUUAGAGGUCUUGAAGAGGGCAGUGUACUAGACGUGGAUUUCUUCCUCUUUUGGUUGUACAAUUGUUGUAUUUCUUGGCCAUCAGAUCUUUUUUAUGUAUCUUUCUCAAAGUUCAUGCCGCACGUACACCGUUUUUCAUGUUUUGUGCAGGUGGGAUUGUAGUCUUUUGUAUCGCAGCUUAGUUGAAGAGGUAGAUGGUCAUACGGCUAUUCUCUAUCAUAGGCUUCAGCUGGACUGGUUUCCAAUGUAAUAGUCUCUUGAUUCAAUCAUCUCAUUUAUGCUUUGGUCAGAAUAGAACAUUUAUUGUUUUCUUCUUUCCCCUUUCAUGUCUUCUGAUAUAAUAUGUGAGGAAAUUACCUAAAAUUUCUGUAUCCCAAUGUAAUUGUUGGAAUUCAGAAAUAAAAUAAAUACACCGUCUUGUUUUUCCCUCGGUUCAGUCCUAAGUUCUCUUUGGGCCUUCUGCAAGUUUUUAAACAUACUGUGACAGUAAAAAAUCUAGUGAUUGAGAUCAUUUUGAUGAAUUUAAUUUUAAUUCUUAGCUGAUACUUUUUCUGGAAUUUUUUUUCUUAUGUUUCCUCAAUAUGACUUAAAUAUAGGGCUUAGUUUGGUUUAGAAGUUCGUCUAAAACCUUCUCCUUGAUUCCAAAAAAAUUCUCUAGAAAGGUCUCAGAUGGAUUUUAGGGGAGUUCUGUGGCAAAUUUGAAAAGUUCAGGGGAAGGGUCUAAUGAAUUUUAAAACCACAUGGGUUAUCUGUUUUAUUCAGAGGAUAGUGGAAUUCCCUGAAAUUUAUCAUUUUUAUUUAAAUAAUCUUCCUACUUUCCUCUGCGGAAUUUAUUUACAUUUAUGAAUUCAUUUGGUUGCAGGUUUGUUUGGCCCCGCGGCCUUUGUUAAGUACGUUAUUGGCGUUGAAAUGACGCUGCGAGUUAUGGUAAGGUUCUUGCUUCCCCACUUCUUGAAAUUAAAUCUAUCUUUUCUGGCACUAGAAGUUUCCAUAAGCUGUGUUUUGUUAUCGCGCAGUUGUGUUAUUUCAUUCUAGGGAGCAUGAGAACUGUGGUCCACAGCCAGGAUAUGUACGAGCUCACGUGGAGAGUUAGUUUUCUGUCCUUUACUUUGGUUGAUGUAGAGAAUUAACAAGUGACUAAGUCAUGCCAAGUUGCACCACUUGCUUCCUGUAUUCUGAUUUCUCAGGUGGUGGAUUCAACAUUUCCCCACUCAAACCUCAAAAUGGUAGGCCCAGAACACAAGUACAGCAUCUUAUGCAGAUUGAUCUAAAAGGGUGGGGUGUUGGUUAUGUGUCAAUGUUUAGCAACACUGUCUUCUUCAGAUGUUAAAUAGCAUUGCUGGUAAGUUUCUUGCUUUCACAUUUUAUUUUGCGCUGUUAUGGGUUAAUAUGUUUCUGUUGGGUGGCCAUUUUAAGUCAUAUUUUUACGUGUUACUGUAUUUUCUUCAGUCCUUUUAUAGGGAACACACACAUACACGUAUGUAGAGUCACCUUUUAAUGAGGGAUCUACCAUUUUAAUAAAAUGAGGAAUGAGCUAAAAGAUAAAAAUUCACGAACUCCAAUGCAAUAUGUGUGUGUGCGUGUGCACACCUUUUCUAACUCUUGUUCUUAGUUAGAUAUUUUUCGGGAUUUCAGGCAAAUGAAAAAAGAGAUUAAGAGAAAGAGAAUAGGUGGAUGAUAACUUAAAUAUUCAUUUUUAUAUAUUUUGUUAAUGUCCUCUUUAAUGGAUUUCUAUGGAAUUAAUCUUUUUUUUUCAAUUAGUUGCAGCCCUAGAGGAAAAGUAGGGUGAUCAAAUUGAUUUAUCUCAUUUUUUUUUAGCAAUUUGCGACAUAAUGACCGUGAUAAUGCUUGUGACUGCUGGAAACUUUCUGAUGGAAAUAACUUCAGAGUUCGUAGCAAGCAUUUUUGUUAUGACAAAACAAAGGUUCCCGCGAAUUUUGGUUGUUGUUAGGCCACAAGUGCGUUUCACAUAUGCAAGGCGCAAGGGUAAUUCCGGAAAUACCAAUCGUGGCUGACGUGUCAUCAAGUAGUAUAGAGAGAAGAGUUUGUUAUGCAUUUCUGUUAGUGAUAAGUUGAUGGUAUUCUGUUUUGAUAAUUUGUUAGAGUUUUCUAUUAUUCUAUUUGGGCGUAAAAGUGAGGAGGUUAUAUGGAGAGGAGCUGUUUUUUGGGAAGGGGAUCUAGAGAAUUAUUUUGUAGUGAGCUUGCUCAUUUUGGGAGAGAUACCAAGCCUCUCGAAUGCUUGGGUGUUUUGGUUUAUUUCUGCAGAUAAAUACCAGUUUUCCUACUUCCAACAACAUUCUGUUCUCUACUGUGUUGUUUAUCUAACCAUUUCAGUUCAGGGCUUAUCAAAUUGGUAUCAGAGUAGUCACGUACCUAGAAAAUGACUGGCAAAAAUGUUGCUCAACGAAUGGAUUCCAUAGAGGAGGCGAUGGGUGCUGCGUAGGAGGAGUUUCAACGGGAAAUGAGAUCGUUGAAGGAUGAAAUAUAGAUGAUGAACAAACGAUUCGAACAGUUCAUCAAACUUCAAGAGGAUACGGGAGGUUCGUAUUCGAAUAAAAGGGAAAAGAUGCUCAGCCCCAACUUCGGCGGGUUGAGCUCAAGCGGAACUAGCCAUGAUUUCCGAUUCCGGAAACUUGAGAUGCCACUGUUCGAUGGCUCAAAUCUGGAUGGCUGGAUCUGAAGGCUGAACGAUAUUUUUCCGUAAAUCGGUUAUCCAAUGAAGAAAAACUUGAGGCAGCGAUAAUAGCUUUCGAGGGAGAUGCCCUGUUGUGGUAUCAAUGGGAGAAUAGGAAGAGAUCCAUGAUGGUUUGGGAAGAGAUGAGGCUACUAAUCUUGAAACAAUUCCGAGUAAUCCAAGCCGAUUCUCUCCAUGAACAAUGGCUAGCCCUUACUCAAGAUAGCAGUGUGCGAGAAUACCGCCGGAAAUUCAUCGAACUUUCGGCGCCGUUGGAGAACAUUACAGACGAACUAGCUCUGGGAAAUUUUAUCAAUGGGUUGAAGCCUGAAAUUCGGGUCGAGGUUCGGAUCAUGGAACCCAGUAAUUUGGGCCGGGCCAUGGACUUAGCCCAAAAGAUUGAGGAGAAACUGUGGGUGACCAAGGCCCACAAAGCAGACGGUGGGUUUCAUCGAGCAGGAGGGUCAACGCGAGGUGUGAACUUCCAUUCUGAAGCUUCGCAAUCUUCGUUUGGGGCAAAUCAUAACACGGCCCGAUUUUCGGGAGAGGUUAGGAGGUUGUCCGAUUCAGAAUUACAGAAGAAAGAGAGAAGGGACUAUGUUAUCGAUGUGAUGAAAAGUGGGCACCUGGGCAUCGCUGCAAGAAGAAAGAAUUGACUGUCCUUCUCACCUACGACAUGGACGAAGCAGAGCAGGAAGAGGAAGAAGGUUCGGGUGAAGGCGAUCCCGAACUGGAAACGGCCGAAAUUAAUCAAGGGAUAGAGGUCUCUCUUAACUCGGUGGUUGGUCUGACUACACCAAAGACGAUGAAGCUUAAGGCGUCUAUCGGGGAGCAAGAGGUGGUGGUACUGAUUGAUUCAGGUGCAACCCACAAUUUUAUUUCUCUAGAUUUGGUUAGUAAGAUGCAGAUACCCAUUGUUAAAACUGAGGCUUAUGGGGUGACUAUGGGUACUGGAGCGGCUGUAAGGGGAUAAGGUUUAUGUCGGGGAGUGACUAUUCAUCUACAGGGAAUAGAUAUUGUAGAGGAAUUCUUGCUGCUUGGGUUGGGGAGCUCGGAUGCUAUAUUAGGAGUUCAGUGGCUUGAAACUUUGGGGAUGACACACACAAAUUGGAAGACACAAGUGAUGAAGUUCAUGCUCGGAAAUGAAUCUGUUACUCUACGAGGGGAUCCUUCCCUUGGCAAGACUUUGGUUUCAUUGAAGGCAAUGAUGCGCACCAUUAAGCACGAGGGAGCUGGAAUUCUGGUGGAAUGUAAUCAAUUUGAAGGUCUGUGCGAAGUGAGCCCUGAGGUGCCACCGAAUCUAAACCAAGUCCUAGCAGAAUAUGAAUUGGUUUUUAACAUGCCCAUGGGCUUACCACCUACUAGGGGACAUGAGCAUUCCACUUUGCUCAAAGACGGCAGUCAACCUGUUAGUGUCCGACCAUACCGCUAUCCUCAUGCCCAGAAGGAUGAGAUUGAAAGACUGAUUCAGGAGAUGUUAGAUGCGGGAAUAAUCCAAGUCAGCAAUAGUCCAUUCUCGAGCCCAGUUUUGUUGGUUAAAAAGAAAGACAGAUCAUGGCGUUUUUGUGUGGAUUACAGGGCUCUCAACAAAACGACGGUACCAGAUAAGUAUCUCAUCCCUGUCAUUGAUGAACUCCUAGAUGAGUUACAUGGUGCCAGAAUUUUUUUCCAAGCUAGAUUUAAAUUUGGGCUACCAUCAAAUCAGAGUCAGUAGUCAGGAUGUUCAUAAGACUGCUUUUCGAACGCAUGAUGGACACUACAAGUUUCUCGUCAUGCCUUUUGGACUAACGAAUGCCCCGUCGACUUUCCAAUCCUUGAUGAAUGAUGUCUUCUGGCCUUAUCUUCGGAAGUUUGUUCUAGUGUUCUUUGAUGACAUUCUAAUUUACAGCCCUUCAGUGGAAUCCCAUCAGCAGCACUUGGCUCUCGUCUUGGGAAUAUUGCAGGCCAACAGCCUUUAUGCCAACCGAAAAAAAUGCGAGUUUGGAAGAACUCAAGUGGCAUAUUUAGGCCAUAUCAUCUCUGGACAAGGGGUGGCAGCGGAUCCAAGUAAAAUCCAAGCCAUUAACUUGUGGCCAACGCCCACUAAUCUGAAAGCGUUAAGGGGAUUUCUGGGAUUGACGGGGUAUUAUAGAAAGUUUGUGGCUGGGUAUGCUAGAAUCGCAUCGCCAUUGACUGAUCAGCUCAAGAAAGAUAGGUUUGGGUGGAGUCCAGAAGCUGCAGCGGCAUUUGAAGAACUCAAACAAGCUAUGUCUUCAGUCCCUGUGUUGGCAAUGCCUGAUUUCACAAAGCCAUUUAUUGUUGAGAAUGAUGCAUCUGGUUUUGGGUUAGGAGUUGUUCUACUACAGGGGCAACAACCAGUAGCUUACUACAGCCAAGUUUUGGGGCCCCGGGCUCGUCUUAAGUCCAUAUAUGAGAAAGAACUAAUGGCCAUAGUGUUUGCAAUCCUGAAAUGGCGGUCGUACUUGCUGGGAAGGCGAUUUAUUGUGCGAACAGACCAACAGAGCUUAAAAUUUCUUUUGAAGCAGAGGAUUGUUGGAGUUGAAUAUCAAAAAUGGAUCACCAAAAUCAUGGGAUAUGAUUUUGAUAUUCAAUAUCGUAUUGGGGCUGUUAACAUAUAUGUUUCCAUAAUAUUGAUUUUGAUGAUAACAAAAAAGAUUAAAAAUGAUUAAUCUUUUAAGCUCAAAUUAUUUUUUAUACAUUUUAAAUAAAUCAUUAUUUUUAUAUUAUAAAGGUUUUAUAUUUAAUGGAAAAAUGAUUUUAUGAAAUUGGUUGUUUUUCAAGUUUAUGAUUUAAUUGAAAGAGUUUUUGAAAACUUUGAAAUCAACAAGUAUUGCUUGAAAUUUUAGAGAAUGACUUAUUUUAAAAGUGUCAUAGCAUUUUGGGCUAUAUCAUAAUUUCAGAAAGUUUUGGGAUUAACAAAGCAUUACUUAGAAAUUCUGAAAUUGGACCUAUUUGUAAACUUUCAUAACAUUUUGGGCCAUACUGUAGUUUUAUAAAGUUUUGGGGUCAAACUAUAAUUUUAAAAAAUAGUGCACUGUGCAGGUUACUGUACCAAUCACUGUAGCAAAUGGCUAACCGUUUAUUUAAAAACGGCUAACCGAUAAUUUCCAGAAAGCAUGUUCUGCAAAGUAUUGUUAAAAUGAUGAUUCUGGAAACUAACGGUGAACCGUUUACUGAAAACGGUUAACCGAUUAUUUCCAGAUUGUUAACCUUGAACCGUUUAGUAAGAACGGUUAAACCAAAUUUGUUUUGCAGGUCUCUGGAAAUUAACGGCGAAAGGGUAAGCCUAAACGGCUAAUCGUUUAUUUAAAAAUUGGCCCAACGGUAACUUUGACCGGCCUAAACGGUUAACCGUUAAUGGUUAACGGCGAACCGUUUUCGAGCAAACAGUCUAUAACGGCUAGUUUUUCAGCUCCAACUAUAAAUAAGCUCAAUCCAAUUCAAACAAGAAGAAUUCCAACGAUCAUCAUUGAGCAAAAUAUUGAGAAUAUAACUUUCAUUGAGCUUUAAAUCCUUGUAUUCAUCUCAUUCAUUCACACAUUGAGCUUUCACUUGUGAUUAAACACAUUGUGUGAGAGAGAUUUAUUUGUAAUCCUUUUUGUAAAAUCAAGUUAAAAGAUUGUAAGUGUUGGGAUACACUUGGGUUAAGAGAUUGGGGAUAAUCUCUUGUUGUAAAGGUCCAUUGACACCUUGGAAGUCAAUUGUAAGCGUUUGAAGCCUUGGGAGGCUAGCUUAGUGAAAUCCUCAAGCUCGGUGAGCUUGGAGGCAUGGACGUAGGCGGGGAUUGCCGAACCACGUAAAAAUCAUUGUGUUUGUUUUCUCUUCCCUUACUCUUUUAUAUUGUGAUUGAUUUAUUUGUUAUUGCUUUAAAUUAGUUUUGGAUUUGCAUUGAGUUUUGUUUUAGAAUUGAAUAAUUUUUAAUAUCCCAAUUCACCCCCCUCUUGGGUUGCCUAGUUAGUAUUUCAUUUGGUAUCAGAGCGAGGUGUUCUUGUGUAGACUUAACCGUCUAGAGUUAAAGAUCCAUGGCAACCUAUAGUGACUCAACCUUUAGGGAAGGACAAUCCACAAUUAGACCACCGUUCUUCGACGGUAAUGACUACCCAUAUUGGAAAACUAGGAUGAGAAUUUAUUUACAAGCUUUAGAUUAUGAAAUUUGGGAAAUUGUUUGUGAUGGUCCAUUUAUGCCUUUGACUAAAAACGAAGUUGGGGAAGAUAUUCCAAAACCUUCACGGGAAUGGAAUGAAUUGGAAAAGAGAAAAGCUUCUCUAAAUUCCAAAGCCAUGAAUGCCUUGUUUUGUGCACUUGAUAAGAAAGAGUUUCAUAGAGUGUCUAGUUGUGAAAGUGCUAAUGAAAUUUGGCACAAACUUGAAGUUGUUUAUGAAGGCACGAAUCAAGUGAAAGAGUCUAAAAUUAGUAGGUACACUCGGCAAUAUGAAUUGUUCCAAAUGGAACAAAAUGAGAGUGUGUAUUCUAUGAAUACUAGAUUUACGGACAUAGUGAACACUCUAGGAGCCCUAGGAAAGACCUUUUCAAAUAGCGAGAAAGUUAAGAAAAUCAUUAGGUCGUUACCUAAGAAAUGGAGACCAAAAAGGACUGUCAUUGAGGAAGCUCAAGAUUUGAAUAUCUUACCUAUUGAUGAUUUAAUUGGUUCUCUUAUUUCUUAUGAGGAAGACAUGGCAGCCGAAAGAGGCAAUGAGGAGAAGAAGAAAAGCAUUGCUCUCAAAGCCUCGAAACAUGAGAGUGAUGAGGAAAGCGAGCUGGAUGAGGAGGAGAUGGAUAUGCUGGCUAGGAGGUUCAGAAAACUUUUUAAGAAAUCCGAUGAGCGAAGAAAAUUUAGAGACCUCAAGAACCGAAAGGAGAAGAAGGAAGUAAUCAAAUGUUAUGAGUGCAAGAAGCCUAGCCAUAUAAGAACGGAAUGCCCUCUUCUCAACAAGCUGAAGAAGAAAGCAAUGAUAGCCACAUGGGAUGAUAGCGAUGAGGAAACAAGUGAUGAUGAAGAGCAUCAAGAAAUGACAAAUCUAGCUCUCAUGGCAAUUGGAGAUGAAUCGAAUGAUGAACUUGAUGAGGUAAAUGAUCUUUUUACUUAUGAUGAAUUAUAUGAUGCUUUUAAAGAAUUACAUGAUAAUUGGAUAAAAAUUGGUAAAAAGAAUGCAUGUCUUAAAAAGAAAAUGGUAGAGCUCAAAAAUGAAAAUGAAUCUCUAUGUGCAAAGAUUACAUGCCUAGAAUUAGAGAAUAAAACAUUGCAUGAUAGAGUUGCAUUAUCAAAUGAGAAACCUAGUACUUCACAUGAGCAUCUAGAAUAUCACAUAGAUGACUUGAAAAAUGAAAAUGAAAUGCUUAAGAAGAAGAGCAAUGAGUUAAAUGAGAUUGUUUUAAGAUUUACAAAUGGACAAAAGAUGUUGGAUAACUUGAUUAAUUCACAAAAAAUGUGUGUUUGAUAAAGGAGGACUUGGUUAUAAGCCACAUUUGAAACAAAAGUAUUAUAGGAACUACUUUGUGAAGAGUACAUCUACUAACAAUCAAGUUGUAUGUCAUUAUUGUAAUCAAAACGAUCACAUGAAGCUUGGUUGUCCUAUUAAAAGAAAAGUAUAUUAUGGAGUAAAAUGUGUUUUGGUUCCAAAAGGAAAAAUUGCUAACACUCAAGGACCCAAGAGUAUUUGGGUACCAAAGGGCACAACGUGAAUGUUUUCUUUGUAGGUACCACAAUCAAGGAAUGGUGGAGAGUUCCUUGAUGAAAGCUUGUGAGGAUAAUCACUUGAGUAUGAUCUAGGAGAAAAAGAUGAGGCAAGAUGAUUUAAUUGUUUUGGUAACAAUUUUUGCCAUAUUAAUUUUGUUGAAUGAAUCAUGAUAAAUGAAUUUGCGAAAAUAUGCUUGUAUGUUUACAUGAUGGAAUUAUCAUUGUGUAUAACAUUGAGUGAUUUAUCAUGAUGCCUUUGUUUGAUUUUGAUGAUUGUAUGGUCUUUGAUUUCAUCUUCUUAAUUGUCUAUCAUCAUUGUCCAUCUCUUAUAAAUGUGUGAAUUCAUAUGCCAUUAAUUGUGUUAUAUCAUCAUUCAUGUAUAAAAUUGAACUUAGAAAUUAUGAGGAAAAAGUAGUAUCCUUCAUCUUUACAAUCAGUACAAGGAUCCCUUUUAAAUAGAGCAAUUAUAACAGAAAAGGAAACUAAUUAAGAGCUAAUAUUUGACAGCUAUCAUCUAUAUUUACAGAGGAAAGGAUCCUACAAUAUCUCUAGGAUUAAGGCUAAAUUCAAGGCCUAAUUUCCAACACUCCCCCUCAAGCUGGUUUGAAGAUAUCUUCCAUAGCCAGCUUGCUAGUCAACUUAUCAAAUUGCUUCUUGUGCAAUCCCUUUGUUAAUACAUCAGCUAACUGUUCAGUUGUUGGAAGAUAUGUCAUACAUAUUAUUCCAGUGUUGAGUUUCUCCUUGAUGAAGUGUUUAUCCACUUCUAUAUGUUUUGUUCGAUCAUGAAGAACUGGAUUAUGAGCUAUAGAAAUAGCAACUUUGUUGUCACAAUAGACUUUCAAAGGAGUUGAGAAAGUAAAUUUCAGUUCUUCAAGAAUUCUUUUUAUCCACAUAACCUCGCAGAUUCCAUGGGCAACAACUCUGAAUUCUGCUUCUGCACUACUUCUAGCAACCACAUUCUGUUUUUUACUCCGCCAUGUAACUAGGUUCCCACCAACAAAGGAACAGUAGCCAGAUGUUGAUCUCCUGUCAGUGACACUUCUUGCCCAGUCUGCAUCUGUGUAGACUUCAACUUGAAGAUGUCCAUGUUUUUUGAACAUUAGGCCCCUCCCUGGAGUUCCUUUUAGGUAUCUUAAGAUCCUGUAGACUGCCUCAAAAUGCUCUGCCCCUGGUGAGUGCAUAAACUGACUUACCAUGCUGACUGCAAAGGCGAUAUCAGGUCGCGUAUGAGACAAGUAGAUCAACUUCCCUAUGAGUUUUUGAUACUGUUCCCUAUCCUUUACUUCUUCAACCUUAGCAGGUUGUAACUUCAAGUUAGGAUCAAUUGGGGUCUCUACCAUCUUACAACCAAGCAAACCUGUUUCUCCAAGGAGAUCAAGAACAUAUUUCCUCUGAUUCACAAAUAUACCUUCCUUGGAUCUUGCAAAUUCCAUUCCAAGGAAAUACUUAAGGACUCCCAAAUCCUUAAUUUGAAACUUCUUUGCAAGUCUCUUCUUGAGGGCUGCUAAUUCUGUUUCAUCAUCACCAGUUAAAAUGAUAUCAUCAACGUAAACAAUCAAAAUUGCAAUUUUACCGUCUUUUGAGUGUUUAUAAAAUAUUGUGUGAUCUCCUUGACUCUGCAAGAAGCCAUAACUGAUAACUGCCUUUCCAAAGCGUUCAAACCAUGCUCUUGGUGACUGUUUGAGACCAUAUAAUGACUUUCUUAAUCUGCAGACUUUAUCACUACCAAGACUCUUCUCAAAUCCUGGUGGUAGACUCAUGAACACCUCCUCUUUAAGAUCACCAUUGAGAAAUGUAUUUUUAACGUCAAGUUGGUGUAAAGGCCAAUCACAAUUCACUGCAAGAGAUAACAAAAUUAUGAUAGAAUUUAUUUUAGCAACAGGAGUAAAAGUCUCAUGAUAGUAAAUCCCAUAAGUCUGAGUGAAGCCUUUAGCCACCAGCCUCGCCUUGUACCUCUCAACGCUUCCAUACGCGUUACAUUUUAUCCUAAACACCCACUUACACCCAACUAUUUUCUUGUCUCUGGGUGGAUCAACUAUCUCCCAAGUACCACUUCUCCUCAAGGCAUUCAUCUCCUCCAUGACUGCUAAUUUCCAAUUCGGGUCAUCCAGUGCUUCCUGUACAUUUCUUGGAACAAACAAGUGUGAAAUCCUAGAUGUGAAAGCUUUAUGGUUUUUUGACAGUCUUUGAUAGGAAAGAUAAUUUGCAAUAGGAUGUUUGGUGCAGUUUCGAACACCUUUCCUAAUAGCUAUAGGGACAUCAAGAUCAGAAAUAAUUGGUGAAUUAUUGGAAACAAUCGAAGGAAUCAAAGCUGGAGUUGGGAUUUGAUUACCUGAAAUUUCAGUGCCGGAACUCAGUUUUUCAAAUUGGGCUUGUGUAGGAUUGACAUUCAAGUCUUUACUUCUCAGAUGAAAUCUCUUCCUAGUAUAAACCUGAAGUUCAGAAUUUAGAUCAUGUUGAUCUGUUUGUAGUACUUCUCCCCCUGAACGAGAAUCCCUUGUACUAGGCUCUAAAGAACUUGUUUUUCUCAACUGAUCAUUAUCAGAAAAGUGUGGUCCUUGAAUAGGACAAAUAACAUUUGGAAGUGGGAUAGAAAUGUCCCAAAAAUUGUCUUCUACUCCAUUUGUCUCCCCCUGAAGAGAAUUUUUUAUGAAAUAAGGAGUUUUUUCCAAAAACGACACAUCCAUACUCACAUGAAAUGUUUUUGUUUGAGGGUCAAAACACUUAUACCCCUUUUUGUUCGAUGAAUAACCCAAAAAUACACACUUUAUAGCACGUGGGUCAAGUUUUGAACGAAAUUGACUUGGAACAUGAACAUAGACAGUACACCCAAAAACUUUGACGGGUAAAUCAGAAAACAACCUUGUUGCAGGAAAAAAUUCUUUAAGGCAAUCAAGAGGUGUUUUGUAUUUUAACACCUUGGUAGGCAUCCUGUUUAUUAAAUAAGCUGCUGUUAAAACCGCUUCACCCCAUAAAUACUUAGGAAUAUGCAUGUAAAACAUUAUGGCACGUGCUACCUCAAGUAAAUGUUUAUUUUUCCGUUCUGCAAUGCCAUUUUGUUGAGGGGUAUUCCGACAUGUAGAUUGAUGAAAAAUGCCUUUAUCAUUCAAAUACUCACCCAAGUGCUCAUUGAAAUAUUCUGUUCCAUUGUCAGAAUGUAAAAUACCAAUUCUAGUUUGAAAUUGAUUUUCAAUCAUAGUGUAAAAAUUUUCAAAUAAAUAUUUUACGUCAGAUUUUUUAUGCAUGAGAUAAAUCCAACAUAAACGAGUAUGGUCAUCAAUAAAAGUAACAAACCAUUUUUUACCGGAAAGGGUAGUGACCUGAGAAGGACCCCAAACAUCACUAUGAAUCAAAUAAAAAGGUUUGGAGGCCUGGUACUGUUUUGGCAAAUAAGUAGAACGAUGAAGUUUUGCAAAAGUGCAACAUUCACAAUAAAAAGAAGAGCAAUCAAUCCCUUUAAAUAAUUCUGGAAAUAAGUAUUUCAAAUAAAGAAAACUAGGAUGUCCUAGUCUAUAGUGCCAUAGCAUUAUUUUUUCUCGAACAGAAAUUGAACUAGUACUAAUAAAGUUCUGAGCUUUUUUAUUACUAAUAGGUACUUCAUCAAAGUAGUAAAGACCUUCAAUCAUCCUAGCACGUCCAAUCAUCAUCCCCGAGUUCUGGUCCUGAAAUUCACAAUGUGAUUCAAAUAAGGUAAUACGACAAUUAGAAUCUCUAGAUAAUUUACUAACAGACAAAAGACUGCAGGCUAAUUUAGGGACAUGAAGAACAAAAUUGAGAUUAAUUUUCUCGGUCAGUUUGAUAAGUCCUUCUCCUGCAAUAGGUGAAAAACUACCAUCGGCAAUUCUAAUUUUUUUAUUUCCAGAACAAGGAGAAUAGGUAUUAAAUAAAUGAAAAGAACUAGUCAUGUGAUCAGAGGCUCCAGAAUCUAUGAUCCAUGGAGAAGAGUUUAAACAAGAAAGGGCUAUAGGAUUUCUACCUGUUUUUGCCAAAGAAACACUAGGAAUACCAGACGAGAAGUUGGAUUUUAUCAGCUUCAGGAGUUGAUCAAUCUGCUCUUUGUUAAAGUGGCCUGAGUUGGCUUCAUUGGCCGAAGGAAUCCCACGAUUCUUCUCUCCUUGCUUGCUGCUUUUCCAGUUUUCAGGUUUGCCAUGAAGCUUCCAACACUUCUCACGUGUAUGGCGAGGCUUGUGGCAAUGAUCGCACCAGGCCUGUGACUUAUCAUCAGACCUGCGCUGAUAAUUUGCAGUCUUGUAGGCUGCUGCAUCAGUAAUUAAGGCAGAAUUCUCAAUUGACUCACCGGCACUCCUUUUCCUGAGCAUUACGCUCCUUCGACUUUCUUCUCUUCUGACUUCAGCAAAGACUUCGCCAAUGGGUGGUAGAGGAGGUCUGCCAAUAAUCCUCCCUCGUACUUCAUCAAACUCAACAUUGAGGCCGGCAAGAAACUUGUAAAUACGACUGUCUUCCACGGUUUUCUUGUGGUGGUUGCAGUCAUCAGCGGAUUUCCAUUCAUAUGUGUUGAAGAGGUCAAGAUCUUGCCACAACCUUUUCAAAGAAUUGAAAUAUUUGGUGACAGAAUCAUCACCUUGACGAAUCUCUCCCAACCUUAAAGUUAACUCAAAAACCUGAGAUUGGUUGCCCAGGUCAGAAUACAUCUGACUAACGUUGUCCCACAAUUCUUUAGCAGUAGGAUAGCACAUAUAAUUGGAGCUUAUAUCCUCCUCCAUGGAGUUGACCAGCCAUGUCAUAACCAUGGAAUUUUCAGCAUCCCAAGUGGCAUACAGCGGAUCAUCAUUAGCAGGAACCUUCUUGUCACCAGUGAUGUAACCAAUUUUUCCUUGCCCACGGAUAUACAUCCGGACAGAUUGCGACCAGCGGAGGAAGUUGUCGCCAUUUAAGCGGAUGGUGGUGAUUUGAACAGAAUGAGAGUUGGAGUGGUUUCGCAGGGUCUCAGAUGUUUUUUCUGGAAUGGCAGCAGCAAGGGUUUGAGUGGUUUCAGACGUGACUUCUGACAUGGUUGCAGACACGAUUCCCUAUGCUCUGAUACCAACUUAGAAAUUAUGAGGAAAAAGUAGUAUCCUUCAUUUUUACAAUCAGUACAAGGAUCCCUUUUAAAUAGAGCAAUUAUAACAGAAAAGGAAACUAAUUAAGAGCUAAUAUUUGACAACUAUCAUCUAUAUUUACAGAGGAAAGGAUCCUACAAUAUCUCUAGGAUUAAGGCUAAAAUCAAGGCCUAAUUUCCAACAAUUGACAUUAUUGUUUGAUACGAUUUCAUAUGUUUGGUCUUGUAUACAUUUAUGCCUCAUGCAUUAAAAUGGCUUAUAAAACAUUUUUGGAUCAAUUAGUUAGUAUUUCAGGGGCAAGUAAUCGAGUAACGGAUGCACUCUCACUCUUAACAGAACCAGCAGAGUGUUCAGCUUUGGCGAUUCCUCAGUGCCAACAUUGGGAUUCCUUAAAGGUUGAGUUGGCAGAGGAUACCUUUCUGAAGAAACUAAGGGAAGACAUAACUUCGGGUACACAAUCUCACGUGGGGUUCUCAGUUGAGCAUGGAGUAUUGUUCUACAAGAGUCGGCUGGUUAUUCCUCAGACUACUAAGCUUCUUUUUGCUCUCAUAGGAGAGUUUCACACCACUCCGAUUGGGGGACAUUCGGGAGAAACAAAAACUUACCAACGCUUAGCAGCAGAAUUGUAUUGGAUAGGUAUGCGCAAGGAUGUCACCAGAUUUGUACGGGAAUGCACCAUCUGCCAGCAGAAUAAGUACUUGGCCACUACUCCCGCAGGGUUACUUCAACCUAUUCGACUACCAGCCCAGGUUUGGGAGGAAGUCACACUUGAUUUUAUUGAGAGGUUGCCUCGUUCUGAAGGGUGGGAUGCCAUCUUAGUAGUGGUGGACAGGCUGAGUAAGUAGGCUCACUUCAUAGGAUUAAAACAUCAUUUUUCUGCUGUUUCGGUUGCUGGAAUCUUUGUUCGUGAAAUUGUUAGGCUUCAUGGGAUACCACGGUCAAUUAUCUCUGACCGAGAUAGGAUAUUCUUGAGCCAUUUUUGGAGUGAAUUGUUGAAGCUGCAGGGAACUACUCUCAAAAGAAGCACCGCCUAUCAUCCACAAUCUGAUGGACAAACAGAAGUUGUCAACCGUUGUUUGGAAACGUAUCUAUGCUGCUUUGCUUCUGGAAAACCUCGAAGUUGGGCUCGCUCGUUGGCAUGGGCUGAGUAUUGGCAUAAUACUUCCUUCUACUCUUCUACACAUUGUACUCCAUUUCGUGCUCUCUAUGGAAGGGAUCCACCCCCUCUUAUUCGGUAUGAGCAAGGAGCUGCUUCGGUAUCUUUGGUAGAACAGUUAAUGGAGGAUCGUGAUGCCAUACUGGACGACCUGAGGAUGCAGUUGCUUCGUGCCCAGCAGCGGAUGAAGCUGCAAGCUGAUCAAAAGCGCCAUCAUGUAGAGUUCAAUGCAGGUGAUUUGGUAUUUCUGAAACUAAGACCUUACCGGCAGCGCUCCCUCGCUCAACGUAAGUUUGAGAAAUUAGUUGCACGUUACUACGGUCCAUUUAAGGUUCUUCAGCGUGUCGGGAAGGUGGCAUACAAACUAGAACUGCCUCAAACAGCAAAACUCCACCCUAUCUUUCAUGUUUCGCAGUUGAAAGAUAAGGUUUCAAACAACAAACUACAUACUAGUUUUCCUACUUCCAACAACAUUCUGCUCUCUACUGUGUUGUUUAUCUAACCAUUUCAGUUCAGGGCUUAUCAGUUGUUUCUUAUGGUAUUUAUAUAUCCGACAUAUUCUAGUUCGACAUGUAACGAUGUAGUUUGGUUGGUUCUUCUUGCUUUUUGUGCAAUUUGUAACUGCAGAUACGUGUGGGAAAACAUUUAAUGGAUCUUGUUGCUGUUGAUUAGUUCAAAGACAAAGAGAAUGGACCAUGUAGCUAGGCGUCAAGGCUGUGAUGCACAAGUAACUAUUCUUUUCUUUUUUAUUUUUCCUUUUCCAUUGACGGAUUAGAAGAAAAUACUGCCUGUGAGAUACUACAAUAUAAAUAACUUCUGGUGGUUCAUUGAAUCUAUAACACUCUGAGCCCUAUUCUAAAAUAUGUAGGUUGCUUCCAAAAAAGGGCUUUUCUCACUGAUCUUUAAUCUUCAAGUAAGCUUGUUUCAUUUCAGAAGGUAUUAAGUUUCAAACUUAUCGUUUUGGGAGGUUGUAUGGUUGUAACGUAAGCAUCUGCAGGUUCCUGGUUCAACAAAUUAUAGUAUGGUAUUUUAUUUUGUCACAAGGGAAUUAAUUACAGGAUCCCUUUUGCAAUGGUUUGUUGACGGCGAUGAUGAAUUUCGCAAUGAAACUUAUCCCAUCCGUUCCUAAGGUAUCCGUCUUGGUCUUCAUGUAUUAGGACUAUGUUAACUAAUACGUACCCUCCGCUGCAUAGUACACUUUAAUUUGUACAAAGAAGGCAUGCAUUUAGGUGUAAAUGUAUUAAUGGGUUGUACCUUCAAACUUCAUUUCCUUUUUCUACCGAUUUGAAUUUGUUUUGCAUUUGUUCUUGAUUUUAAGCAUUGAAUCAUGCAGGGGUCAUGGAUCGUGCGCCAGAGUGAUGGAAGCACCCCUUGUUUAUUAGGAAAAGCAGUUGAUUGUAACUAUAUCCGCGGUCCUAAGUACUUAGAAGUAAAUGCUCUUCGAAUUUCUAUAGUACAUGGGAUGUGUUCCCUUUCGAAUAGCUUGUUCAAUACCAUUAACAUGGUUUAACAUUGUUCAUCUUUCUGCAGAUUGAUGUUGGCAUGUUCUUCUACUGUUGCUAAUGGAGUUUUGGGCCUUGUAAUUGGUGUAAUUACGGCAGUGGUGGUUGACAUGGCUUUCCUUGUACAGGUAUGUAUGAUUGUUUUUUUCCUCUACUUCUAAAUGGACACAAGGGAAAAGACAUGAUUUUGAGAUAUUGUACUGCAAUUUGCAUAUUUGCAUACUUGAAUGUUCUCAGAAUGGUAUAAUGCUUCGUGUAUGCAGGCAAAUACUACAGGUGAAUUACCGGAGCGGCUGAUUGGAGCUGUACGUGUUUCUUAUAUAGAACUCAAGUCUGCUAUUGUCCCAAAGUUGGAACCAGAGACAUCAUGACUGUGUUUUCAUUUCACCUCAACUGUUUGUUUUUAAUUUAAAAAAAAUCAUUUGUUUUAGGUAUACAUACAUGUAUUUUGAUCCCGUUUUCAUUGUAAUUUCUCAUUUACUUUGAAAGAAAGUCAUUGGUGUUUUCGAAUGGGAAUUUUGCAUUAAAAAAUAAAGAAUACUUAAUAGGAAAUUUCAUGAUUCUUUAGUUACUAUUUUUGGAAUGAGUGUAAUAGUAUUAAAGUUGGUUUCUACUCGCAAACAAGUGAACUACUCGAUCCCCAACUGUGACCACGCUAAUUGUCAUUGUUUAAUAGCUACUACUUUUAAAACUCAACAACUAACAAAAAUACUAAUAAAAAAAUGAUUUUCUUAUGAUGCUGUGAAAACAUUUAUGGGUUCACUUAUUUCCACAAGAUCUAUAACAUGGUCUUGACUUCACGAAAUUCUUUUAAUUUAAAGGGUGCUGGUAUGAGAAAAUCAGUUUUACGGAUUAAUUCCUUUUAAUAAUGGUCGAGUUAAUUUUACUAUACUCAUAAAACUAUUCUUAUUCUGAUAAUGCCACAAAUGUUAUGCUGUUUUCUUCAGCUAAUGAUCUUCUAUCAGGACUAGUUAGAAAUCAAAUGCUUAAAACACCAAUUGAAUGAAUGAUGCAGAAGUUUAAACAGUAUCUAAUUGAAAAUUGCCUGAAACAUGAAACAUCAAUUCAAGUCCUUCCUUAAACAGAGAAUGCAUCAAACAAAUCCAAAGUGUCUUUCAAGUCUGUAGCAUGACUAAAAAAUUGUAAAUGCGUUCAGAACCAAAUUAUUCAAGUACAGGAGAACGAGCAAGUUGAAUCAUGUACAAGAGGUUGACCUAGUUCUAGAUAGCUUCUUCACUGUACCUGAAGGGUUGGCUCAAUCUUUUCUUUAGAAUUCUGCACAUUUUGUAAUUACUCGUGUAAGCAAGCAUACAUUACAAUCAUAAUAAUAAUAAAGCAAGAGUAAUGAUACGACCACAACCUCUUGUGCACAAAUAAUAUUGUACAAACUAACAUGACAUAAUAUGAUUGAGUAAUGAUACGACCACAAUCUUUUGUGCACAAAUAAUAUUGUACAAACUAAUAUGAUGUAAUAUGAUUGAUUAAACAAAAACAUAACAUAACCCUUAUAAUUUAUUUAUUAUUAUUUUAUAUUUUCAAUCAAGCAAUCAUAUUAUGCCACGUUAAUAGCUAUAGAAAUAAUUUGCUAGAUAGUGCCAACACUUCAUUGAUACUCACCAUUUCAUUGAACAAUUUUUUUAUGGUGUCAUUGAGGUUGCCUUCCCCACAUCCUUCAUCAUCAUCUUUUUCUUCUUCGGUGACGUUCACUUUGUUUAGCAUUGGUGUGUCUAAGACUCCUUGAGAGAAGAUCUUCAUUUUUGGACACUGUCUCACAACUACUUGUUUCAAGGACGGGAAUUCAAGAGCGUAAUUACCCAAACAAAAGCUUGUUAGGAUUGGCAAACAAUCAAGUUCCAAGUACUUUAAUUCCUUGAAAACAAUGCAAUCUUUCGUUUUUUCUCCAACCUGCGAUUGUAUGAUUUCUUCUAUCAUUUUGCAAUCAGCUAUCUUUAUUCUUUGAAGAUUCACUAGAUUUUUAGAUGCUGAGAGCGUCAACGCAUUUAUCAACCCGUGACACUUCGAUACUUGUAGUCCCCACAGAUUUUCCAAAUGCCACGAAGGUGGUACUAAUUUUUGUAACUUACUACAUUCUGAUAUUUCUAGACUUCCCAAGUUUGCAAACGCUUUGUUGGAUUCGUCAUUUUCCUUCCAGAGAUGCUGCACUUUGUGUAAUUUAGACAGCUUUAACUCCCUCAAUUUAGGGAAUGCAACCUGAAAAUCAACAAAAUUAAGUUGUAAAUUAAAAUAUGUAUCCAAUCUCUGCAGUCUUCCCCUGCAUAUUUUAUGGACAAGAUUAAUCACGACAUUUUAUAUUUUUUUUUCCAAAUUAGUAUGCUUUGCAGUAGGAUCCCAAAUAUAAGUAUCAAAUCGAUUACCCUUUGAAACACAUAAAUGAAAUCUGAUACUAAAUCCAAAUGAAUUAGCUAGGAAAACAGAGAUGCGACAAGCAUAAUUGAAAUAUAGUUCAUCACCUCAUGUUACCAGUCAUCGAAAUAAUUUAAGACAUUUUUAUAAUUCAUACUAUAAAGUUAGUUAAUAACUACGGUUAUAUUGUUAAAUCAGAUAUAAAUUAAGACGACGUGCAAAAAGAUGAGUCAUUAAAUUUGAUUUGAUUCUAAUGAAAUUAUAUCUGUGCGAAUGAAAGUGAAGGGAAAAAUAAUAAUAAUGAUUACCUUUUCAUUGAAGAGAUGUUGUAUUUGAUUAGCUACCAAGAUGUUCUCUUCUGAUUUUAAUUUUUGAGCUUCCUUAUUAUCUGCUGUCAUGUGCAGUACAGAUGUAGAAUUGGAUAUGAAUGUUUCCAUAUCAGGGCAAUUCUCAAUAGUUAGAUAUCUCAACUCAGGCAGUUCAAUUAUAUUCCCAGUGAAGUUGUAGAAUCUUUUGAGUUUUGGAAGAUCAAUGAGCCUUAGCCAGGAAAGCCUAGGAAACAGGGGGCCUAUAUGUUCUUCCUUAGCAUUUAGCUCUUCCAAAUGAAGCACCUCUUCUAGUGAAUCACAAUUCCUCACUUCUAGGUACCUUAAAUUGUUCAAGCAUCGUAGCAGAUUGGCAGGAAUAGCACUCGACAUAUUCGUGCAGUCAUCCACCACCAGCUCUCUUAAAUUGUUGAAGAAGCUGACAGGCAGUGCUUGGCCAUGCCAUAUUUCUUGCAAGCGUGGAAAAUGCGAGAGUUGCAAAUCCUUUAUAUCACGAAAUCCAAUCUGCACAAACCAAAACAAUUGCACUGGAUAUAUACAAAUUUUUUUUUAAAGGCAUUAUAUAUAUACACAUUAAACUUACAUGUUUUGUGUUUUAACUUUUAAAAAUAUAUAUACAAGGGAGGUGUAUAUGCUUAAAUGUGCAAGUGCAGGGGAGAUGCAUGAACAAUUUGGGUGAAUCGAUUAACACAUACCAUUUCUUCAUAACACUUUUGUAUAGUGGAAUUAAGGUUGCCUUCCCAAUGGUGCGGUUCACCCUCUUCCUUUUUACUCACUUGGACUUUGUAUAGCUUUGGUGUGGAUAAGAUUCCCAGAGAAAAAGUCAUCAUGUCCGGACAAAGUGUCACAAAAACUUGUUCCAGUGAUGGGAAUUCAAGAGUGUAAUUCUCCAAACAAAAGCUGGUAAGCCUUGGUAAAUCAUCAAGUAUCAAAACUUUUAAUUUGCUGAAAGCAAUACGAUUCUCCUUCACUUCUUGUCCAACAUGUCCUACGAUUUCUUCUAAUUUUGGGCAACCCGAUACUUUAAGAUUCACUAGACUACUAGGAAUUCCAACCUUAUUAUGAAAUGUCUGUGUGCAUGUGUGUGUGUAUUAAAAAAGUAAAAAUGUAAGAAUAUCAUUCAACUAGAUUCAAAGUAUGGUUAAUCAUACAAUUAUACAUUUUAUGAACAUAACAAAUUAUGAAAUGUCUACUAGAUAUUUUUUGUCAAACAAAAACGGAACAAGAUAAAUAAAUAAAUAAAAGCCACAUAAACAAAGAUAAUAAAAAUGCAUUUACACUAUUUAGUAUUAGGAACGUAGCAAGAAUUUAAGGCAAUUUCUAAAUAUUUUAGACUUAUUUUGCAUCUUGACGCCAGUUUUUAAACAAAAUUUGCAAAUUUCAACUAUUCCUUUUGGGAAAAAAAAUCAACCAAAAUGCCGCUUUUUCCCUUUUUCCUUGGUCCCUUUUUUUUAUGUAUAUUUAAUUUUGGAAACAAAAUUAAAGUGGAUCUUUAUUAAGUACUUGCAGACUCGAGGAAAUUUCUUUACAAUCAAGGAUCAGUUGUAAAUAAUCAUGAAUUUGUGGUUAAUUAAUGGCAUAAUCAGUUCGAACUAAACAAGAGAUAUUAAUUAAAUUUGAAGACUUUUCUUUUCUUUUUUUUUUCUUUUUCCAAUCAAAAUGUGAAGAAUUAAGGAAAAGAGAAAUAUAUAGAUGAAUUUGUGAACCUAUAAGAUGAGUGACUAUCCUUUAAUUUUUGAUAAUUGUACUUAUUAAGAUAUGAGCAGAAACAAUUAAAUUGAAUUAUAUUAUGCUGUUGAAUCGUGAUUAAAAAAAUUAUAUUGUUGAUUCUAAUGCUGGCAAACCUAAAAACUGGACUUAAAAUGUAGAUUUGAGAGUGGUGGUUCGAAGUACAAUACUUGAAAUAAAUAAUCAGUGGCUGAAUAUCAUUUGUAACCCAAAAAUGGUUAAAAUAUUGUUGGAUGUAAUUUGAAAAAAAAAAAAAAAGAUUCGAAAUGAAUACAACAACCUUACCAAUGGAGGAAAAAUAUUCAUUAGGUUAUCACACCUAGAUAUCUCCAAAUUCUUCAAUUUCCUGAAAGACUCCAAAGCAAGCUGGUGGUGCCAUAUUGUUCUCAGGUUAGCCAUCCACGCAAUAUCUAAUACCUCCAACCUAGGAAGUAGUACCUGGCAGUUAAAGAUUAAAUAACUAAUUAAUCGGCAUAAUCUAUUGAUAACCAAAUUAGAGGCGGAUAUUAACUAAAUUUGAAGACUCAAGGAAAAGACAAAUUAAAUAUUGUGGCUAAAAUUAAUUAAAAAAAAAACCUUUUCGUCAAAGAGAGGUGGAGAUUGCAUUUCAGAAUGAAGGGUGUCUGCUGGUGAGCUCGUAGAGAUGAAUCUUAACAUAUUAUUGCAACCAUGGAUCUCCAGGUUUAGCAAAGAAGGGAAUUCAACAACUAAAUCUGAAUGAAUCUGUCCCGUAUUGGCAAAACUUGUUAGUUCUGGAAGCCAUUCUAGCUUGAGGGAGUGUAGUUUAGGAAAAACCUUUAAUUCAAUCAACUUUCCUUCAUCUCUUUCUGACCACCCCGUGGUGUCGACUACCCCUUCCAUUGACUCACAAUAGCUUAUCUCAAGAUGUUGGAGUUUCGCAAGACUAUUAACCAUAGAAUAUGAAAACAGAUACUUCAGACAAUCACAACUCCACACGAUGACCUUUGUUAAGUUUUGACAACAGUACAUUCCUUGAUUAU